ACCUGUGACUCCUGGAAUCGGCUGCAACGGGGCUUCCCAGCUGAAGUGUGGGCCUGGAGGAUGACUCAGUGCUGAUUCAUAGAAUCAUAGAAUAGUUAGGGUUGGAAAGGACCUUAAGAUCAUCUAGUUCCACCCCCCUGCCAUGGGCAGGGACACCACACACUAACCCAUGUCACCCAAAUUGGUGAUGUAUUUCUUCUUAAUCUCUGUUCUCUCUAUGCAGUAAUGAUUUGAUUCAUUGCUCAUUUUCCUCUGUACUUUACUUAUAUAUCUCUCUCUCUGAUUUGCAUUAUUCUACUUAUUUACUCUCUAUAGAGAGAAAUAUACCUGAUUUGCUUUAGUGUGCUUCUUUAAUAAACUGUAGCUUGUGGCCGUUUUGUGGUGUACCCUGCCUGUUAGCAGAACAGGCCUAAACCGAACGCCUCACUUGUAAAAAUUGUAUAGAUGAUGCUUUUUCCCAUGCUUAACUAUUUUCCCUCCUUUUUCACCACCAUGGACGAAGACACAACAAUGUUUGAGCCACGGGGUGCUGUGGGAGACCAUAUUUUAAGCUGACUGUCUCAAAGCUUGUUCACAAUCCUGGUGAGCUCACUGUGAGAUGUACAAUUGAGCCAAGCUCAGCUGCUGUGAACAGAUCAUGAGCAAGCAGCCACCCGAAACCAGUCUCGACCAAGGUCAAGGCAGGCACAUCGCUGUGGAGGAUGUGCCUGGGCAUGGGUGAGCCCCAACCUCCCAAGGCAUGUGCAGCCCACAGCAAAUGAUCAGGCGGUGUUGGCAUGCACCCCGCGUGCGCCCCUGGGGACCAGCGUGCCAGGACUGAGAGCAUGCGCAGGAAUGCACUAAGACCCUAUAAAAGACUGUGUGAUCCAACGGCGAGUGGAACCCCCACCACCAAAGUACAGGGAGACUACAGACCAGCGGGAUGCCGCUGGAUCCAUGGGGUGAUUAUCUCUUGCUGCAGCUCUAUCCCGACUGCUUCCCAGAUUUCCUUCUUUUCUAUUUUCUCCCCCUUUCGUAUCGCUGUUUUCAUACUGCAGUAAAUAACUACUUUGUUUAGAUAAGUAAGCAAUAAAUCUCUUUGAUUAGCG
RNAcentral lists this long non-coding RNA (1088 nucleotides) under Strigops habroptila (Kakapo). RNAcentral describes it as "lncRNA (ENSSHBG00005001100.1)". Lineage: Eukaryota; Metazoa; Chordata; Aves; Psittaciformes; Psittacidae. The record is from RNAcentral.